Molecule: ribosomal RNA, 339 nt
Filed under: Triticum aestivum (bread wheat)
Lineage: Eukaryota; Viridiplantae; Streptophyta; Magnoliopsida; Poales; Poaceae
Description: partial small subunit ribosomal RNA
Source: RNAcentral
AUGACAGGUCGUGCUACUGCAGGUGAUUGUGACGGUCCUACUGCCCCGUUGGAGGCUGCAUCCCUUGCACAAGCUUCUGAUGAUUUUGUGCCCAGGGAUCCUCCAAGGUCUACUACAAAGGGUAGGGCAAAGAGUCGACGGUACAAAUCGGCACUGGAGCUACACCCAAAGAAGAAAAACAAAUGCAGCCAGUGCCAUCUACAGAGCACACUGCUGGUGUGUGUCCACAGAGGCUCCUGUGAUUCUGUUUCCUCAUUUGUAACUUUGGAACAAAAAAGGAAAAUAAUGAUGUCUUUUUUAGCAAUGUUGGGACCAAGUGGACACAUUCAGCAUCUAUGA